RNAcentral lists this ribosomal RNA (322 nucleotides) under uncultured Sphingobacteriales bacterium. RNAcentral describes it as "bacterial SSU rRNA". It matches the Rfam family "Bacterial small subunit ribosomal RNA", at positions 1 to 337 of the family's 1533-position model. Lineage: Bacteria; Pseudomonadati; Bacteroidota; Sphingobacteriia; Sphingobacteriales. The record is from RNAcentral.
UAGUGAGUUUGAUCCUGGCUCAGGAUGAACGCUAGCGGCAGGCCUAAUACAUGCAAGUCGAACGGGCAGCAAUGUCAGUGGCGAACGGGUGCGUAACGCGUAAGGAACCUGCCCCUCACUGGGGGAUAGCUUUGCGAAAGCGAAGGUAAACCCGCAUAGUUCAGUCGAACGGCAUCGUUCGAUUGAUAAACAUUUAUGGGUGAGGGAGGGUCUUGCGUCUGAUUAGUUAGUUGGCAGGGUAACGGCCUACCAAGACGAUGAUCGAGUAGGGGGUUCUGAGACGGAACGGCCCCCACAUGGACACUGAGACACGGGUCCAACU